Molecule: long non-coding RNA, 707 nt
Organism: Chlorocebus sabaeus (green monkey)
Lineage: Eukaryota; Metazoa; Chordata; Mammalia; Primates; Cercopithecidae
Source: RefSeq, a predicted model, not a curated record
AGGAAGGAAGGAAAGAAAGAAAGACGGAAAGAAAGAAAGAAAGAUGGAAAGAAAGAAACACACACACAUAGGGACGGACAAUCCAGAGGCUCUAGAAUUUUUGCGUGCUGACUGAAUAGUGAAUUGUUGUUACUGAUUCCCUUCUAGGUGGUGAAAGGUGACAGCUGCUCUGUGCAGUUACGAUGCUGCACUGCCGCUAUAGCCCUCUCCCUCUGUAGUGAUCCAACAUUCUACUAUAUAUCGGCAAAACUAUUCCAACCCGGCCCUUUCAACUCUCCCAACUCUAAGCCAACAGUCACGCUACUAUGAAGAUGUCAGGCAUAUGGAAAUAACAGAUGGGAAAGGCGAGAGGAGAUCAUUACUCUGAACUGUCUGGGAUGUCCCUGGGCAAUGCUAAGCUAACAUUCAGCGGUGUCUACAAGAUGACACGCAAUAUGUUGAAAGAAUGGAGCGGUAAUUCCCUUGGAAGGAUGUGAAAAGCUUUCCAAUCUCAAGGUGAUAUCAGAGCUCAUUCCCACUGAAACACUUGGAUGCUCUUUCUCCAGCCAUCAUGCUCUCUUUUUUCCACUCAAGAAAAUAAGAGAAUGCAGGUUUCCGCAGACACUGCAAGCCCCCUCAAGCUUAGGCAGUGGCCCUAACUCAGAUCUCUCUUCCCUCUAGAUCAACACAACUGGUAAGUCAGGUCUCAGCUCAUAUAACACAUUCAC